Molecule: microRNA precursor, 276 nt
Organism: Oryza sativa Indica Group (long-grained rice)
Lineage: Eukaryota; Viridiplantae; Streptophyta; Magnoliopsida; Poales; Poaceae
Rfam family: MIR821 microRNA precursor family
Source: Rfam
GAUAUCAACUGAAAAAGUCAUCAACAACAAAGUUGAAUAACUCAUCAAGAUCUAAAACUUUUAUUUUGGUCAUUUCUUCAUACGACAAAGUGAUAGUAACAUUGUUCACAAAAUUGACAUAUCUCUUAUCUGGUUUUAUAAACUAUAACACAUAUAUGUAAAAUUUGUGAAUAAUAUUACUAACAUUUCGUCAGAUGAAGAAAUAACAAAAAUUAAAAGUUUUAGAUCUUGAUGAGUUAUUCAACUUUGUUGUUGAUGACUUUUUCAAUUGAAAUC